AUUGAAACACCAAUUCUUAUAUGAUCACCCAAGUUAAGCAAUGUCAAGCCUGUUUAGUACUUAGAUGUAUGACCAGUUGGGAAUACCAAGUGCUGGAA
Molecule: non-coding RNA, 98 nt
Organism: Acanthosepion pharaonis
Lineage: Eukaryota; Metazoa; Mollusca; Cephalopoda; Sepiida; Sepiidae
Source: the annotation of a GenBank genome assembly